Molecule: ribosomal RNA, 392 nt
Filed under: Architectonicidae sp. H18
Lineage: Eukaryota; Metazoa; Mollusca; Gastropoda; Architectonicidae
Description: partial 16S ribosomal RNA
Source: RNAcentral
CGCAAGGUGAACAUCAUACUUUGUAAAUUCUGCUCAGUGACUAACUGUUUAACAGCAGCGGUAUUUUGACCGUUCAAAGGUAGCAUAAUAAGUUUAGUAAUUGUAAACCUGUCAAUGGGACCAUGGGUUUAUUUUUAUGAAAGUUUAAAACGUAAUAAAUUAAACAAAAAGUAAAAACUCUUUUUUUUAUUUAAAAGACGAUAAGACCCUAGAAUUUUCUAUUAAAGUUUAGGUGGGGAAUCUAAGAUUUUACAAACAAUCUUGUAUUAAAAUACUCUAGGGAUAACAGCUUUAUUUUAAAAAAUUUUUAAAGGUUAAGACCUCGAUGUUGAAUUAAGAAAUCAGUUUUUCAAAAGGAAAUUGAUCCAGGUCUGUUCGACCUAGUUUCUCUU